Molecule: long non-coding RNA, 1206 nt
Organism: Bubalus bubalis (water buffalo)
Lineage: Eukaryota; Metazoa; Chordata; Mammalia; Artiodactyla; Bovidae
Exons: 3
Source: RefSeq, a predicted model, not a curated record
AAGCCCAUUUUCUUAAUAAUGGGCUUUAAAAUUUCUAUUCCUUCACUUCAUAUUGUCAGACUUCAAGAAUUUUAGCUAAUCUGAUGGAUGUGAGAUGGCAUCUCUUAAUUUUUAAAUCUGCAUUUCUUUAUUAGUGAAGUUAAGCAUUUUACCAUAUGCCGAGAAUCAUUUCUCCUUCCACACUUUGCAUGUUCAUACAGUCUGCCAAUGUAUCUCGAUUGCUUUUAAUUCUUCUUAUGGAUGUAUAGGAUUUCUCUGCUAUAUUCAGGGUAUUAAUUCUUUGUCAGUUAUAUAUGUUGAAUGUGCAUCUGUGACUUGCUUUUAUUUUUUAUUUAUUUAUUUUUUUUGCUGCCCGGUUCUCAGUUGUUGCAAGCCACUGGCUGCCUGCUUCUGGACACACUUAAUUUUUCAGAUCAUGGCAACGACAUGGUGAAAACAGCUUGGAGGUGAAUUUUGAAAAGCCUGUGUGAAUAAAUGUUCCUUGACUCUAAAUAUCUGUCGUAGGCUCAGGAAUGUGUUCUUACAAAAGAAUCUGUGAAGGACCUGUUUUGCUUACUCAAGGAUCUCAUUUGCUAAUAUAAUUCUGUGGUGAAAGCAAAAGAACCAGGUGUAAGUGGAAAAAAAACCUUAGUCACUAAGGCUUGUUUGGGCUGCUCAGUGAUGAACACCGGGGUGACAGGUUCUCCUGCCAUGGUGAAUCCUGGCAAGAUUCGCCUGGCUGUCCGGACAUUGUGCAGCCCCAGCAUAUGUGAGAGGACACCUGAAAGAAGUUUCGUCCUCAGGGGUCUCUCCUCUCCAUCUACACACCUUGGAGAGCCUUCACCAGGGUGUGAUGGUGGCAAGUCUGGGACGCAUUCAUCAGAAGGUCCUGCUCUCAGCAGAAAUUUGGAGCCUCCUGAGUGACCAGCAUUAAUGCCCCACUUCCCCUCUUGCACAACUCCCAGCUUCUCGACUGCCCAGUGAUGGAAUUAUUGAUUGAUGCCAGGAGCAGUGGAGCACCACUGGCAGAAGAACCUGCCUCCCUGCUCCUUCAAAGGCCACAGACCCAUGAGAACCAUUCACUGUAGCCUGAGCCACAUGCCUAGAGGCCACAGCAGUGCACAGGAAAGCGAGGGGAAGUGGAAACGUGCGAGCAGACGGCUCAAAGCAACGGGCUCACCACCGGAAAAAAAAAAUAAAAAUAAACACGCUCAGAAAUAGUGUAAC